This 5251-nucleotide long non-coding RNA is filed under the name Brassica napus (rape). Its description in RNAcentral is "long non-coding RNA (BNAP_LNC009343)". The record is from RNAcentral. Lineage: Eukaryota; Viridiplantae; Streptophyta; Magnoliopsida; Brassicales; Brassicaceae.
AGAAAUACUUACUUCAAACUAAAAAUAUAUAAAAAAAGUCAAAUUUAAAAAUUAGUUAUAUAUAAUUUAAUAUACAAAAAUUCACAUACAAAUAAAAAUGAUAAAUGCCUUGUCCAAAACGAGCACACCACAUUACUUUCCCCCGUUGCUAUACACACACACCACCAGCAGUUUCCUGAGAGUCCUUUAAUCCCAAGAAACACCGACCAGAACACAACAUUUUGCCUAACCAGAUAACAGACUACACUCCAGUAUACUGCCAAAAAAGAUAGUCCCUGAGAAGGCUCAAUCAAAUGCAAAUCUAAACAAAACACACAAUCAUAAGACCUCUCCACCAAUGAUAAAAACUCAAAUUUAUUAUUUCAACACCCUGAAAUCAUCAGAGGAAACUCACCACAAAGAAAGAAAGCAGAAUCAAAGCGAAAUUCAAAGGGAUUACUAGAUCUUUCCCAACACUUAUUCAUUAAAUUUUUAAAAGACUUAUUUUAAUUUUUAAUCCUGAUCAGGAUCUGGCUUAACCGAAGCCUUCCUUGGGGGUAAUAUGCCCUUCUCCCCCAUCUUGCUCCCCUGUUUAGCCGUAUGUUUCUUCCUUGGGGAGACAACACUCUGCACGAGCCGCUACUUAAGAGUACCCCCCAUCGCAGCACCACUGGCUUUCCCUAGCUUCUUCUUAAUAGCAUGUCGUUCCUUGCCUUCAGUAACAUUUGCAACCUCCUGAAUUUCAGUCUCCAUCAGUUGAUCAUCCUCCUCCACAUCAAAACCUGCUUCCUCAAGGAUCACGUCUCCCAAUUGAUUAGCACCAUCCUGCUCUGCUGCCUCAGUAAAGACCGCAUCCUCAGGUAGCUCCAGCUCCGUUCCUUCAGGCAUGUCCUCGACUUCCCCUAUCUUCUCCCCCUCUCUCUUCUCCUGAUUGAGAAGUGCAAUGAUCACUUGUAAUCUUUAGGUUUUCUAAUGUUUUGAAAAUCAACCAAUGAAUUUGACCCAAAAAAAAUCAACCAAUGAAUUAAACAGAUGUUGUUAGGUGAUUAACCAAUGAAUUAAAAUUAACCCAUUAAUUAGGAAAAAAAUCUGUAAAAAUAAGCAAGUGGGCCCAAUUUUAAUUAAGUGAUUGAUAACAAUAUAUUAGUUUACCAUUAAUGGAUGAGUGGCAUUAGGUUGUAAUUAUCAAAGAACAUCAACGGCAAAUCUUUUUUUAAUGCUGAUUUAUUAUGAUAUUAGAGUUAUAAGAAAUAUUACAUAGACAUUUAGACAACCGACAAGACUACCUGCCAUAUGAAGAUCUAUGACUAACUGCAUCACCUGAGACGUUCUAUGAAGAUCCACGCUUGACCAGAUUUAUUUGCACCAUAUUGAAAAUCCCUUGUAAGCUUUUCUUCGGUAGUCUGCAUAAUUGUUUGAUAAAUCUCUUUCUCCGGGAAUUGAAACAUAGACCUCUUAUAAUAUGCAAUCUGCAAAAAAUCGCAUAGUCUGAGAUUCGAACCCAGACUUGGGUGUAAAAGCUUUUUAAACCUUAACCACUAGGUUCUGGUGCUUCCACAACAAAAUCUUAUUUGUAAUUCAGUUUUAAUAUACAAACUUUAUGAAAUAGUUCGAUCUUUUGUACUCAACAUUGUAAACGAAUUAUGAUUGGUUUGAUUUUUUUUUUCUAUAAGGUAUGUAGGUAGAGUUUCAUAAGGUUUGAGUCUUACCUAAAACAUUACGUACACAAAUUCGAUUGUGCUAGUUUGGGACCCAUAUAUCUCUUAUCAUUGUUCCCCCGUCUUUCAGCUAGCAUUGCAUUUAGAUCAAAAUCAGAUGUAGAUUCUUCCUCAAACGUCAAACCAGAACAAUUUGGGAGGAUCUUGACCAUACACCAUUUUAAAUGUUGUUGUAUGCAGAGACAAACAAAACAAGGUAUACCAGAAUUCAACCCAACGACAAAAUACUUAAAUCAAGCCUUCAAAUAAGCAGAAGCAAAGCAUUUUUAAUAGGUCUCUAAGCAUCUAUUGAAAACUUUUAUUUGACCAUUACUUUGUGGAUGAUAAGGUGCUAAACAUCAAGACAGUACCUGCCUUACGAAAAUUUCCAUGCUUAAAAGUUCAAUCGUGGUCCAGAAAAAAUCGAAACUGUCUAAGCCUCAUAAAAUGAGUAUAGUUUCUCAGAUGAUCAAUGACCACAAGUAUCACAUUUGCCUCUUCAGAUUUUGGAAGGCCUUUAAUGAAACCCAUGGACGCUUCUGACCAUAUUUGUGAUGGAAGUGAGAUUGGGUGAAGUAACCCAGCUGGUUUAUUCGAAGCCAUAUAUAAAAUCACAUUAGCCAUGAUAACACUAGGACAAGAUCUUACAGUAAGACCAUAAACAACCAAUAGAAAAGGAUGAACAUUGUCCAUGAAAUUCUGGGUUUUUUCAACAAUGCAAAUGAAAAAAAAAAAAAGGAGACAAGAAUGCCGUAAUCCGAACCGGUGUGCUAAACAACAUUUAUGAUCCCGGGAAGACCACAUAAAAAGACAUGUGUGUUCAGGAAUAAAUUAAACUUUCAAAGAAAGCUUCUGAGCAGCAAGUGCUUCAGCCUCAAGGGUUGGCUCCCAGAGAAGUGUGGUCUCUGCCAACAGUGAAGUCACAAUGUAUGGGUCCAUGUUAGACGCUGGACGCCGAUCUUCCAAGUAACCUAUACUCCAAUUUCACAAUGAUAUAUAUAAUAUGUUAGCAAAUGUAUAGAUAGCAUAAGAAUAAAAAAACAAUCCAGAAUAAGUACCUUUUCCUUUCUUCUCGGUAUCACGUCCCACACGAAUGGAGCAUCCACGGUUAGCCACUCCCUGCCAAGUCCAAGUUUAAUGCAAAUGAGCAUAUGAAACGUGAAGAUAUCUUGUAGACUCUUAUUGCAUAUACAUACCCAUGAGAAUUGGUCGAUACUGGCUGUCUCGUGCUUUCCGGUCAACCUUCUCUCAUUGCCUUCACCGUAGGCACUGAUGUGCUCCAUGUGACGAAGCGAGAGGUUCAAGAUUGCCUUUUUAAUCACCUCAAAUCCUCCGUCCUCUCUCAUGCUCUUUGUGCUGUAAUUGGUAUGGCAACCAGCACCGUUCCAGUCACCCUCAAUCGGUUUGGGAUCAAGUGUUAGGACAACACCAGCUUGUUCUGUGAUUCUCUGCAAAAACAAACGUAAUCAACAGUUAGUUGUAAUAGCUUAACUCUUACUCACUCAGUUUCUCUACAAAUGAGACUUUUAAUUACCUCAAGAAGGUAUCUAGCACACCAAACGUGAUCACCUGCUUCGAUUCCUACGCUCGGUCCAACUUGGAAUUCCCACUGAACAAAUAUUUGUUGGCAACAUUGUAAAAAAAAAAAAAUAUUAUCGUAGAAUUUAUUAUCAUUCUAUUAUGGAAUUUAUUAUUAGAAAAAAAAAUUUAUUAACAGAAGCUUCAUUGAGGAAAAAAAGAGACCUGUCCUGGCAUAACUUCACCAUUAGUACCACUGAUGUUAAUUCCAGCAUAUAAACAAGCUUUGUAAUGAGCAUCUGAAAUGUCACGUCCCCAAGACUUUUCAGCUCCAACUCCACAGUAGUAAGGACCCUGACACCAUCCAGAAAAUAUUGGUUACUUUUUUUAUUUUAUUUUUUAAUUUUGAAAACCAAACAUAAGUUUUAGCUUGACUCGGUUAUCACCUGGGGACCAGGAUACGCUCCAACGGGCCAACCCAAAGGCCAGUUCACGUUUGGCUGAAGUAAAGUGUACUCUUGUUCAAUGCCAAACCUGAAAUCAUGAUAAAGAGUAUUCAUCAGACUUAAAUGGAAUUGGAGGCAAACAUAAAAUAAAUGAGAUUUUUUCGUGUAAUGACAAACCAUGGAAUCUCUUCAUUGACCUUCUUGUUGCUGAAAAUCUCAGCAGCUCUUGCACGUUUGUUUGUUGGAAUUGGCUCACCAGCUGGUGUGUAAGUAUCACAGAUAACCUUCACGUAAAUAAAAGCUCCAUAAUUAGAGAGUGACUACAAAAAACUGUUGCAAAAAACUAUACAAAGUCAAAUGACACACAUACCAAUAUGUUAUUGCCUCCACGGAAAGGAUCUCUGAAGAUAGCUUGCGGACUGAAUAAUAACAGCAUCAGUACACGAAUAUGAGUUAAUGAAACAAAAUAUCAAACGAGAGAAAUGUUAACAUUGCCUUGAGAAAAGACUUACUAGAGAAUAACUUCACUAUCUUCACCAGGUGCUUGUCCGGUACUCGAACCAUCAUAGUUCCACUUGGGAAGUUCGGAAGGAUCUUCCACGGGCUUUUCAAGCGUCUGAAAUUUUCAAGAAACCAUUCAUUUAUCCAUUACAAUCAUAGACUCUAGUAUAAAUUUUACUACAAAGUCUAUUACAGUAUCAUACCCUUGACUUGCUCCUAAGGUCAAUUCCAGAUCCGCCAAUCCUAUUCAAACAAAAGGACAAGAAUCUUAUAUUAGAAAUGAGAUGAGAAACAUACGCCAUCCACUCACUGACAAAUCAGGUUUAUGAAAAAUUUGCGGGUUAAUAAUACCAUACCAGAUGUACUCAGCGAUGAUCCGGUCAGUGAAAGGUUUGGUGUCUAGAUUGAGAAGACUCUCAACUCUGUUGAUUGUGCUGUUAUCAGAUUGGAGAGCCAUCACUUUGAAGCUUCUGACUUUGCUGCUGCUGCUCUGUUUCUUCUGUUUCAACACAACCGAGUUCCAUAACUUUGACGAUGCAAUGGAGCUGGGUUUAGUCAAUCUCAUUUGACAUGUUGGAGAAGCUGCCAAGAUCUGCGCCAUUUUGAUCCCUGUUCAAAAUCAAAAAGUAUUAUCCAAACCCAAAUCAAGAUUCCAUAACUUUAUCCAAUAAGACUAAAAUGGGAUCAAGAUUCUUGACCAAUACUGAUUAAACUCACUAAAAGGUGAUUAGAAAGUAACCAAAAUGCAUUAAGUCAAAGAGAAAAGACAAAGAGAUUCAAUUAAAAUACCAAAAAGUGUGAUGAUCCUUUUUGAUAUUAACUCAAAAAGAAGAGAAUUAUAGAUUAAUAAGUACGUGGUGGACCCGAGAUCUACUGUAAUCCACCUUUUUAGAAGCCAAAUUAGCAAAGAAAGACAGAGUUCAACUUUUUAUUACAUUACUUGUUUAAAAGAUUCUCUGACCAGAAACAGAUGGGUUUCUAAAUCCAGUAACAAGAUCGGAUCAAAUGCAGGAAAGAUGUAAUCAGAACAGAGGAAGUACCUGGAACUUGAAGAAGACUCUAACUCUGAUUUCAGGAGACUUGAGUGUUUGCAACAAAUGGCAAAGGAAG